Molecule: long non-coding RNA, 2571 nt
Filed under: Felis catus (domestic cat)
Lineage: Eukaryota; Metazoa; Chordata; Mammalia; Carnivora; Felidae
Description: lncRNA (ENSFCAG00000042318.2)
Source: RNAcentral
AUGGGGGCCAGUUUGAGCUCACACCUGGGAAGCUCCCGGAUUUUGCGAAUCAACCUAGAGGCUCGCUGGCCUACUCUGUUGCUGGUCCCAAGAACGGUCAACUGGAAUACUGUGCAGAAAAGUUUCACCUCCCACCGCCCUGCCCUCAGGGAUGCAUCCCUGGUUCCAGCCAGUGACUUCCUUUGGCCGACAGAACACACAGCUUCAGCCAGGUUAGGGUUCAUCAGCAUCCGGCACAGCGUAAGCGAUGGCCUGUCGGGCGUCCACCUUGUGGUCCUCCUCGCCUGUCAAGGUCACCAAAACUGCCGACGGACACCUCAGUCGCCUCUCCCGAGGUGGCAGCCUGGCCCGGGAUAGAGGCAACGCAAGAGGCGUUUGUCAUGUACAGCGAGUGUUGGCUCCGAUGACCUAGCCCGUUGCUGUUGCUAUCGGAUGGGCAACAAAGCCAGACGGGGGUUUCACCUGUCCUGAAGGGCCACCUGAGAACAGAUCCUUCAAAACAUCACGCGACAGCUGAGACCUCGUGGGCCACAUCAGAGCACGUGCUCUUUGCACAGAUCCCCCCGGGCCAGUGAUUCUUCAGGCAGCAUCUCUCCGCACCGUAUUCUCCGCACAGAAUUCUCUGCACGGUGUUCGCAUUCUCGGCGGUAGCGAUGUCCUCCCGGGCGUUUCUUAACAGUUUUCAAGGUUUUCUCUCUGCUGCACCACACAAAUCCUCUUGGUGCAGAAACACGAGCCUGGCCCCGUGCUUCUUACAGCCACGGCAUCCCCACUAGCGGCAGGUGAAGCCAACUCUGGGGGUACGUUUUCAAGGCACUCCACUGCCUCAUCCCCCACGAUACAGGGCUGACUUCUGUACCCGGAACACCUUCCCAGGAACCUGUAACUGGCGAGGAAUCUGUAACUUAGCUCCACCAUUACGUCACUUUUGCAGAUCGUCCCUUAUCGCUGGGCAGAGUUCUCCUCUCUUUUAUCCCCCCUUUGCAUUUGGAAUGGUUUAUUAUUUGUUUUAAUACGAAAUGUAUUGUCAAAUUGUCAAAUUGGUUUCCAUACAACACCCAGGGCUCAUCCCAACAGGUGCCCUCCUCAAUGCCCGUCACCCACUCCCCCCCCCCUCCCCCCCCACCCCCCCCCCCCCAUCAACCCUCAGCUUGUUCUCAGUGUUUAAGAGUCUCUUAUGGUUUGGCUCCCUCCCUCUCUUUUGUUUCCCCCUUCCGGUCCCCCAUGGUCUUCUGUUAAGUUUCUCAGGAUCCACAUAAGAGUGAAAACAUACGAUAUCUGUCUUUCUCUGUAGGACUUAUUUCACUUAACACUCUCCAGUUCCAUCCACGUUGCUACAAAGGGCCAUAUUUCAUUCUUUCUCACUGCCAUGUAGUACUCCAUUGUGUAUAUAAACCACAAUUUCUUUAUCCAUUCAUCAGUUGAUGGACAUUUAGGCUCUUUCCACAAUUUGGCUAUUGUUGAGAGUGCUGCUAUAAACAUUGGGGUACGAGUGCCCCUAUGCAUCAGUACUCCUGUAUCCCUUGGGUGAAUUCCUAGCAGUGUUAUUGCUGGGUCACAGGGUAGAUCUAUUGUAAUUUUUUGAGGCACCUCCACACUGUUUUCCAGAGCGGCUGCACCAGUUUGCUUUCCCACCAACAGUGCAAGAGGUCUUCCCGUUUCCCCACACCCUCUCCAGUAUCUAUAGUCUCCUGAUUUGUUCAUUGUAUCCACUCUGACAGGCAUGAGGUGGCAUCUUAUUUUCGUUGCUACGGCCCAUAUCUGUUUUCCCCACCAGAGCUCUGCUUUACUCUCUACAUGUAGCCACAUGAUCUGCAUUGGGUGGCUAGUCUUCUAGGAACUUUAUCAUUCUUAUUAUGGAACGCUUUUGUUUAGUUAAUUAAUUAAUCUAUUUUAAUUUUUUAAUGUUUCCUUCUUUUUAGAGGAGAGAGACAGAGACAGAGACAGAGCGUGAGCAGGAGAGGGGCAGCCCCAGAAUCGGACGCAGGCUCCAGGCUCUGAGCUGUCAGCACAGAGCCCGACGCGGGGCUCGGGGCCCAGGAGCCGUGAGAUCGUGACCUGAGUCAAAGUCGAUGCUGAACCGGAUGAGCCACCCAGGCGCCCCUGGAAUGCUUUUGUUGAAGUUGAGGUUAAUGUACGUUCAGUAAUACGCAGAUACAUUACGUGUGCGGGUUGAUAAAUGUCAUGUGUGUUCACACCGACGCAACCACCAUACAGAUCCAGGGAGAGAAGAACAUCUCCGUUCUCCCAAAAGGUUCUUCAUUCUAGUCCCUAGAGGGUAAUGGACUCUUCCGACUCCUAUUUCGGUAAAUUGCAAUUUUGUUGUUCUUAAAUUGCACAUAAAUGGUAUCACACAGCACGUAUUUAUUUGUCUGGUGUCUUUGGCUCAGUAUACAGUUUUUAAAAUUCAUCUGCAUUAUUCCACGUAUCAAUAGCUCUUUUCGCUGCCGGGUAGUAUUCCAACGUAUGAAUAUAUAACAAAAUGUGUUUAUCCUGCUUUUGAUACAACUUUGGAUUGAUUUUACUUCUUAGCUAUCAGCAAUAAACUUUCUACAAUUUUUUUCUUGUACA